RNAcentral lists this antisense RNA (69 nucleotides) under Lentzea aerocolonigenes. Its description in RNAcentral is "Lechevalieria aerocolonigenes ASpks TB sRNA". It matches the Rfam family "ASpks TB sRNA". Lineage: Bacteria; Bacillati; Actinomycetota; Actinomycetes; Pseudonocardiales; Pseudonocardiaceae. The record is from Rfam by way of RNAcentral.
CUUCACCGAGCCCAGCCACAGCGGGUCGACGCGGUCCUGCCCGUACACGGUCAGCAACGCCUGGGCUUC